AUUUAAAUAGCUUAAAAUUAAAGUUUAAUAAUGAAAAUAUUAAGAUGAUUAAUAAAUCUUUAAAUA
Molecule: transfer RNA, 66 nt
Filed under: Pseudognaptodon sp. QL-2014
Lineage: Eukaryota; Metazoa; Arthropoda; Insecta; Hymenoptera; Braconidae
Description: tRNA-Phe
Source: RNAcentral